Molecule: long non-coding RNA, 416 nt
Organism: Lemur catta (Ring-tailed lemur)
Lineage: Eukaryota; Metazoa; Chordata; Mammalia; Primates; Lemuridae
Exons: 3
Source: RefSeq, a predicted model, not a curated record
AAACAGGACCGGAGAACCUCAGCCCGUCCCUAACAUCCCUGCUGCGAGGCCCGCAGGCUGUGGAAUCUCGCACGUCACCUGGCCCCCGCAGGGCGGCCAGCUGAGGGGUUUAUUUUAUUUUAUUUUAUUUUUUUGAAGUAAAGGCUGAAUCUCGGCUGCAGGGCUUUUGCCAACGUCUCUACUGACAGGAACCAGCAAACUUCAGGACCCAAAUGAGCAUCUUAAUUUAUUGAUGCAAAACAGAUGCAAGUUGUGCUCACAUCAUAUAAACUAAAAUGUGAAAGCGUCCGAAAGCUCAACCAGUUCCUGAGGCAAGAAAUGUGAAAUGGCGAUGACUGAAAGGCACACAUAGGGUGACCAACUUGGCCUCUGCUUGCCUUGGACUUUACUGGCUUUAGCCCUGGAAGUGCCAUGUC